RNAcentral lists this ribosomal RNA (253 nucleotides) under uncultured bacterium. Its description in RNAcentral is "partial 16S ribosomal RNA". It matches the Rfam family "Bacterial small subunit ribosomal RNA", at positions 524 to 776 of the family's 1533-position model. The record is from RNAcentral.
UACAGAGGGGGCAAGCGUUAUUCGGAAUUAUUGGGUGUAAAGGGCGCGUAGGCGGCUUCGCAAGUGGAAGGUGAAAUCCCUCGGCUUAACCGAGGAACUGCCCUCCAAACUGCGUUGCUUGAGGCCGGGAGAGGUGAGUGGAAUUCCCAGUGUAGCGGUGAAAUGCGUAGAUAUUGGGAGGAACACCAGUGGCGAAGGCGGCUCACUGGACCGGAACUGACGCUGAUGCGCGAAAGCGUGGGGAGCAAACGGG